Molecule: long non-coding RNA, 995 nt
Organism: Scophthalmus maximus (turbot)
Lineage: Eukaryota; Metazoa; Chordata; Actinopteri; Pleuronectiformes; Scophthalmidae
Exons: 2
Source: RefSeq, a predicted model, not a curated record
UCCACCACUGCGGGACAACAAGCACAAACAUCACGCUGUUACUUCUCUGCCCUUGGCCGAGCGACUUGGAGCGACGGAGCACAGGGAGGAACGUACAGUUUUGCGAGCACAAAAUUCGAUUUUAAUAUGCAAGCAACAAACAAAUUCUUUCCUAAAUAUAGAAAAAAAAAAAAAAAAGAUAAGGAAAAUCUAUGUGCUCAAGAAACGCAUUUGCAUGUUUACCAUUAUCCACAUCAACGAGCAAUAAUAACCCCCCCUCACGCACUUUUAUUCAUGUGCACUCACAUAAACUCUGGCGCUGCGUUCAGUGUCUCUCUCUCAACGUUCUACACUCUGUGCUAAACAUUGCACAGUGUUAUACUUGUGCCACAGAAUCAACCAAUCGGAGAAGGUCACGCCUGAUUGGCUGCCCUGUGCUCGUCUUUCCGGUUGGUGGUCUUGGACCGGUGUUGCAUUUUCAAAUGAGGUCCAGUAACUGAGUGUCCCGGCUCUGCGUCUGCUAUGAUUCAAAUGAGGAUUCUGAGAGGAUUCCCUACCUGUUGUACAGUAAGCCAUGAGAUCAAAGAUCAGGGGUGUGUGUGUGCCUUUGAUCAUUGAAUCAACUGGGAUGGCAUCACUUUUUGCAUCAUAAUUGGGAUGUUGUGAUCUGAUUCAUAUCAUCUUAGUGUAUUUAAAAAAAUGUCCCUCUUCUUCCACAUUUUUCAACCUAGAAACUUAAUUCGAACAUCAAAACAUUCUUCUCAAUUAGUACAGUGUGGCCUGCAUUCAAUAUUUCCAGACCACAGAGGCAUUACCAACGGACGCGGAGCAGAAUGCCUCCAGACGCAAUUGGACAGACCUUCAACCAGUGAGAGCAACGAUUAAUGCGACGUCUGUGGAGCGACACGAAAAUGUCAACAGACUAGAGCAGAUAUCUGUGAUGAUGAUUCUACAAUAUUUGUGAACGAGUGUUGUCGUUUUUGUGUGAGAAAUGUGAAAAUAUUGGUUCAAAAUUC